Molecule: ribosomal RNA, 433 nt
Filed under: uncultured bacterium
Lineage: Bacteria
Description: partial 16S ribosomal RNA
Rfam family: Bacterial small subunit ribosomal RNA
Source: RNAcentral
AACGAACGCUGGCGGCAUGCCUAACACAUGCAAGUCGAACGAGACCUUCGGGUCUAGUGGCGCACGGGUGCGUAACGCGUGGGAACCUGCCCUUAGGUUCGGAAUAACUCCCCGAAAGGGGUGCUAAUACCGGAUAAUGUCUUCGGACCAAAGAUUUAUCGCCUUUGGAUGGGCCCGCGUUGGAUUAGCUAGUUGGUAGGGUAAAAGCCUACCAAGGCGACGAUCCAUAGCUGGUCUGAGAGGAUGAUCAGCCACACUGGGACUGAGACACGGCCCAGACUCCUACGGGAGGCAGCAGUGGGGAAUAUUGGACAAUGGGCGAAAGCCUGAUCCAGCAAUGCCGCGUGAGUGAUGAAGGCCUUAGGGUUGUUAAGCUCUUUUACCCGGGAUGAUAAUGACAGUACCGGGAGAAUAAGCGCCGGCUAACUCCGUG